Molecule: non-coding RNA, 86 nt
Filed under: uncultured Intestinibacter sp.
Lineage: Bacteria; Bacillati; Bacillota; Clostridia; Peptostreptococcales; Peptostreptococcaceae
Description: TPP riboswitch (THI element)
Rfam family: TPP riboswitch aptamer (THI element)
About the family: Vitamin B(1) in its active form thiamin pyrophosphate (TPP) is an essential coenzyme that is synthesised by coupling of pyrimidine and thiazole moieties in bacteria. The previously detected thiamin-regulatory element, thi box was extended, resulting in a new, highly conserved RNA secondary structure, the THI element, which is widely distributed in eubacteria and also occurs in some archaea.
Source: RNAcentral
UAUUGCUAGGGGAGCCAUUGGCUGAGAAGUUUUACUGACCCUCAAACCUGAUCUGGAUAAUGCCAGCGUAGGAAAGCAUACAUAUA